This 2396-nucleotide unclassified non-coding RNA is filed under the name Hevea brasiliensis (rubber tree). Lineage: Eukaryota; Viridiplantae; Streptophyta; Magnoliopsida; Malpighiales; Euphorbiaceae. The record is from RNAcentral.
AGAAACUACAACUUUCCAACUCUUGAUGGAAAGGAACCAAGGGAGAAAUGGAAGAAGAAGAGCUUGAAACACUUGAGGGGUUUUUAGAAUGGGCAGCGGCGCUUGGAAUUUCAGAUUCAAUUCAGGAUUUCCAAUCUCGAAAACGAAAGUCCUGUCUGGGCAAUUCUCUCGCUGUCUCUAUUUUCCCUGAUGCAGGAGGAAGAGGCUUGGGUGCAGCCCGUGAUCUUAGGAAAGGAGAAUUGGUUCUUAGAGUUCCAAAAUCUGCCUUGCUAACAAGGGAUAGUAUACUAAAAGAUGUGAUACUGUCCUCUGCUGUCAAUGGCCAUCUCUAUCUCUCUCCUACUCAAGUUUGCUUAUUUUCCUUUCUUUCUGGCAAAAUAAAGAUCAUGGAUUCUUGAAUUUGUAGUUGCUGAUUCCUUUCUCUAUAAUUUAAUGCAGAUAAUGACUGUUUGCUUGUUAUAUGAAAUGGGUAAAGGAAAGAAUUCCUUUUGGUAUCCUUACUUGAAGCAUUUGCCCCGCAGUUAUGAGAUUCUAGCUACUUUCAGUGAGUUUGAAAAGCAAGCUUUGCAAGUUCAGUUUCUCUUUCUUUUUUCUUUCCCUUGCUAUUUUUCGGUUUUAGGUUAGGUUUGAUAUAACUUAUUAAGAUUUCUAUUGUGACAAAAGAAUGGUGUCUGAAAAUCUGGAGUCACUGUUAGGUGGAUGAUGCUAUCUGGACAACAGAAAAGGCCAUAUCUAAGGCUGAAUCAGAAUGGAAACGAGCUAAUUUGUUAAUGCAAGAGCUUAAGCUUAAGUCAAGACUUCUUUCUCUUAGGGCGUGGAUUUGGGCUUCUGCAACUGUGAGGAUAUUAUCUUUUUGUCCAGAAAUGGAAAAUGCUAAAUUAAAUUCUUUUAUUUGUUAUAUACCAGCACUUCAUCCUCCCACCAAAUAAUGUACAUGAUUAGGAAAAACAAAUUUGCAUGGCAGAUUCUAGCUCCUACUCUACUGGCGAGUAAAUACUCUGUAAAAUUGACAAGAUGUAUCAACAUUAUAAUGCAAGUAUCUUUCAGUAUGGUAAUCCCUGUCUUUUGGUUGGUGAUCACUUGUGUUUCCUGUGCAUGGGUGACAGUCUUUGAUGUUCUGCUACAACAAUCUUAUAUGGGACCUUUUUGUCUUAUGUCCAUUCUGUGUAUUAUGUGUGGUAAUUUCCACAUCUUUCUUUAGAUUCUGCAAUUUGAAACUUUACAUUUUGUUCCUGUUUAUAGAUAUCCUCAAGGACAUUGCAUAUACCAUGGGAUGAUGUGGGGUGCCUAUGUCCUGUUGGAGACUUGUUCAAUUAUGCUGCUCCUGGAGAGGAGUCAAAUGGCAUUGAAAAUGUUGAAAGUUUGAUGCAUUCUUCUUCCUUGCAAGAUCAUUCUUUGUCAACUGAACAUUCUACAGAUAACUUACCAGUGGAAAGAUAUGAUGCACAUAUACAGAGGUUAACAGAUGGAAGGUUUGAUGAAGAUUUUGGUGCAUAUUGCUUCUAUGCUAGGAACAAAUAUAAAAAGGGAGAGCAGGUUCUCUUAAGCUAUGGAACAUACACAAAUUUGGAGCUUCUUGAACACUAUGGGUUUCUCUUAAAGGAAAAUCCGAAUGACAAGGUUUUUAUUCCCUUGGAACCAAGCAUGUAUUCCUCGAAUUCAUGGCCCAAGGAAUCAAUGUACAUCCAUCAAGAUGGGAAACCAUCUUUUGCCUUAUUAUCUGCAUUGAGGUUAUGGGCAAUCCCACAGGGUCAGCGGAGAUCCAUGGGACACCUUGCUUACUCAGGUUCUCAACUUUCUGUAGAAAAUGAGAUAUCUGUCCUGAAAUGGAUAUCACAAAAUUGUCAUGUAAUUUUGAAUAAUUUGCCAACAACAGUUGAAGGAGAUAGUAUGCUCUUAUGUACCAUUGACAAAAUCCUAAAUUUUCGUAACCCUAUGGAGCUGGGGGAGAUGCUUUGUCGAUCAGAAAGUGAGGCUUGUGCUUUCUUGGAAGCCAGUAGUCUGCAGAAAAAAGAAAAUGGUGCUGAGUUGCUGCUAUGCAGUAAGACCAAAAGGUCAGCUGAACGGUGGAAAUUAGCAGUUGACUGGAGGUUGAGGUACAAGAAGAUACUUACUGAUUGCAUUUCUCAUUGUACUGAAAUCAUCAAUUCAUUCUCAAGUCAAAAUGUCUCAACAGUGAGAACUCAAUGAGGCAGAAUUUAGCAAGAUUUUGUAUUCUUCUCUUUUCCCCUCCUUUCUUUUUGGGGCGGGGGGUUUGGAAAACUAGGACCCAGCUAGGAUAAGUUACUCCACAAAUGCCCUUAGAUCCCAAUGCUUGGCUUACCAAUUACGUUCAUUAUCUUAUGCUGUAUUAUUUGUGGGAUUCGAUACUGUAAUUUUCUAAAACAGCAUCCUUU